AGAGUGAACGCUGGCGGUAGGCCUAACACAUGCAAGUCGAACGGCAGCACAGUAGGAGCUUGCUCUUACGGGUGGCGAGUGGCGGACGGGUGAGGAAUACAUCGGAAUCUACCUUUUGGGUGGGGGAUAACGGUAGGGAAACUUACGCUAAUACCGCAUACGCCCGUUCGGGGGAAAGCCGGGGACCAGCAAUCGGCCUGGUGCUGAUAGAUGAAGCCGAUGUCGGAUUAGCUUAGUUGGUGAGGUAAUGGCUACGACCGAAGGCGACGAUCCGGUAGCUGGCCUGGAGGAGGAUGAUACGACGCCACUACGUAGGAAC
RNAcentral lists this ribosomal RNA (319 nucleotides) under uncultured soil bacterium. RNAcentral's name for it is "bacterial SSU rRNA". It matches the Rfam family "Bacterial small subunit ribosomal RNA", at positions 26 to 319 of the family's 1533-position model. The record is from RNAcentral.